GGCCUAACACAUGCAAGUCGAGCGGUAACAGGACUAGCUUGCUAGUUGCUGACGAGCGGCGGACGGGUGCGUAACACGUAGGAAUCUGCCCGGUAGUGGGGGAUAGCCCGGAGAAAUCCGGAUUAAUACCGCAUACGCCUUACGAGGGAAAGGAGGGGCCUCUUCGGAGCCUUUCGCUAUCGGAUGAGCCUGCGUCGGAUUAGCUAGUUGGUGGGGUAAAGGCCUACCAAGGCGACGAUCCGUAGCUGGUCUGAGAGGAUGAUCAGCCACACUGGGACUGAGACACGGCCCAGACUCCUACGGGAGGCAGCAGUGGGGAAUAUUGCACAAUGGGGGAAACCCUGAUGCAGCCAUGCCGCGUGUGUGAAGAAGGCUCUAGGGUUGUAAAGCACUUUCAGCGAGGAGGAAAGGUUGCUGGUNAAUACCCAGCGGCUGUGACGUUACUCGCAGAAGAAGCACCGNCUAACUCCGUGCCAGCAGCCGCGGUAAUACGGAGGGUGCGAG
Molecule: ribosomal RNA, 504 nt
Filed under: uncultured Gammaproteobacteria bacterium
Lineage: Bacteria; Pseudomonadati; Pseudomonadota; Gammaproteobacteria
Description: bacterial SSU rRNA
Rfam family: Bacterial small subunit ribosomal RNA
Source: RNAcentral